CUGAACUGGAAAAUUCUGUGGGCAGCGCUGAAAGCAGGAGCUGCGAAUUCCAGCUGCCAGCGUUUCUCCGUGGUCGCCCUUCCUUCUGCCGUGAUGGUACAGGACAGACGGAAAGAAUCCGGAGUGCUCUGCGAGUACGAGGCGAUUGAGGUCAAAGAGGAGACAUGGACAAAACGGGACAAACGGGCAUCGCCUCUCUGUGUUCUCCAGGCUUUGCCGUGAAGCAGCAGCAGCGUUUAACUCGUGACGGCGAAUCCUGUGGUUUUGGUUGUGGUUUUGG
Molecule: long non-coding RNA, 280 nt
Organism: Chroicocephalus ridibundus (black-headed gull)
Lineage: Eukaryota; Metazoa; Chordata; Aves; Charadriiformes; Laridae
Exons: 3
Source: RefSeq, a predicted model, not a curated record